This 253-nucleotide ribosomal RNA is filed under the name uncultured bacterium. RNAcentral's name for it is "partial 16S ribosomal RNA". It matches the Rfam family "Bacterial small subunit ribosomal RNA", at positions 524 to 776 of the family's 1533-position model. The record is from RNAcentral.
GACAGAGGCCUCGAGCGUUAGGCGGAAUCACUGGGCUUAAAGCGUGUGUAGGCGGGCCCGUAAGUGUCUUGUGAAAUCCCACGGCUCAACCGUGGAAUUGCUGGGCAUACUGCGGGUCUUGGGCCAACUAGGGGCAGCCGGAACAAGCGGUGGAGCGGUGAAAUGCGUAGAUAUCGCUUGGAACGCCGAAGGUGAAAACAGGCUGCUGGGGUUGCGCCGACGCUGAGACACGAAAGCCAGGGGAGCAAACGGG